This 256-nucleotide ribosomal RNA is filed under the name uncultured bacterium. Its description in RNAcentral is "partial 16S ribosomal RNA". It matches the Rfam family "Bacterial small subunit ribosomal RNA", at positions 99 to 353 of the family's 1533-position model. The record is from RNAcentral.
CGGACGGGUGAGUAACGCGUGGGUAACCUGCCUUGUACUGGGGGGCAACAGUUAGAAAUGACUGCUAAUACCGCAUAAGCGCACAGUAUCGCAUGAUACAGUGUGAAAAACUCCGGUGGUACAAGAUGGACCCGCGUCUGAUUAGCUAGUUGGUAAGGUAACGGCUUACCAAGGCGACGAUCAGUAGCCGACCUGAGAGGGUGACCGGCCACAUUGGGACUGAGACACGGCCCAAACUCCUACGGGAGGCAGCAUG